RNAcentral lists this ribosomal RNA (460 nucleotides) under uncultured bacterium. RNAcentral's name for it is "partial 16S ribosomal RNA". It matches the Rfam family "Bacterial small subunit ribosomal RNA", at positions 338 to 795 of the family's 1533-position model. The record is from RNAcentral.
CCUACGGGAGGCAGCAGUGAGGAAUAUUGGUCAAUGGUCGAGAGUCUGAACCAGCCAAGUAGCGUGAAGGAUGACGGCCCUGUGUGUUGUAAACUUCUUUUAUACGGGAAUAAAACGUGUUACGUGUCGGCUUUUGCAUGUACCUUAUGAAUAAGGAUCGGCUAACUCCGUGCCAGCUGCCGCGGUAAUACGGAGGAUCCGAGCGUUAUCCGGAUUUAUUGGGUUUAAAGGGAGCGGAGGUGGCUUGUUAAGUGAGGUGUGAAAGUUCGGGGCUCAACCCGGGCCUUGCAGUUGGAACUGGCAGUCUUGAGUACGAGAGAGGUAGGCGGAAUGCGUGGUGUAGCGGUGAAAUGCUUAGAUAUGACGAAGAACUCCGAUUGCGAAGGCAGCUUGCUGGAGCGAAACUGACGCUGAGGCUCGAAAGCGUGGGUAUCGAACAGGAUUAGAUACCCUUGUAGUC